Molecule: ribosomal RNA, 460 nt
Filed under: uncultured bacterium
Lineage: Bacteria
Description: partial 16S ribosomal RNA
Rfam family: Bacterial small subunit ribosomal RNA
Source: RNAcentral
CCUACGGGAGGCAGCAGUGAGGAAUAUUGGUCAAUGGACGAGAGUCUGAACCAGCCAAGUAGCGUGAAGGAUGACUGCCCUAUGGGUUGUAAACUUCUUUUAUAAAGGAAUAAAACGAGGCACGUGUGCCUUUUUGUAUGUACUUUAUGAAUAAGGAUCGGCUAACUCCGUGCCAGCAGCCGCGGUAAUACGGAGGAUCCGAGCGUUAUCCGGUUUUAUGGGGUUUAAAGGGGGCGUAGAUGGGUUGUUAAGUCAGUUGUGAAAGUUUGCGGCUCAACCGUAAAAUUGCAAUUGAUACUGGCAGUCUUGAGUACAGUUGAGGUAGGCGGAAUGCGUGGUGUAGCGGUGAAAUGCUUAGAUAUCACGAAGAACCCCGAUUGCGAAGGCAGCUUACUAAGCUAUGACUGACAUUGAUGCUCGAAAGUGUGGGUAUCAAACAGGAUUAGAUACCCGAGUAGUC